AUGCGUGUAGCUCAGUCUGGUAGAGCGCAAGUCCGACCCACUUGAAGGCGUAGGUUCAACUCCUAUCAGGUAUA
This is a non-coding RNA of Trametopsis cervina, 74 nucleotides long. The record is from the annotation of a GenBank genome assembly. Lineage: Eukaryota; Fungi; Basidiomycota; Agaricomycetes; Polyporales; Irpicaceae.